Molecule: ribosomal RNA, 89 nt
Filed under: Jaculus jaculus (lesser Egyptian jerboa)
Lineage: Eukaryota; Metazoa; Chordata; Mammalia; Rodentia; Dipodidae
Source: RNAcentral
GUCUGUGGCCAUACCAUUCUGACCUUGGAAGCUAAGCAGGGUUGGGCCUGGUUAGUACUUGGAUGAGAGAAACUGGAAAGCAGAAAAUC